GGGCGGUUAGCUCAGUUGGUCAGAGCGCCUGCCUUACAAGCAGGAGGUCCCCGGUUCGAGCCCGGGACUGCCCA
Molecule: transfer RNA, 74 nt
Filed under: soil metagenome
Also listed under: 1 other name
Rfam family: tRNA
About the family: Transfer RNA (tRNA) molecules are approximately 80 nucleotides in length.
Source: RNAcentral